GAGCUGUCUAGGAUACUGAGAACUGCUAAUUCUUCAUGACCAUGGUUCAAUUCCAUGGCCUGCUCA
RNAcentral lists this transfer RNA (66 nucleotides) under Arthroleptis poecilonotus (West African screeching frog). Its description in RNAcentral is "tRNA-Ser". The record is from RNAcentral. Lineage: Eukaryota; Metazoa; Chordata; Amphibia; Anura; Arthroleptidae.